Oncorhynchus tshawytscha (Chinook salmon) is the source of this 2972-nucleotide RNA transcript. It is a transcript of the gene named TRAF3-interacting protein 1, with no coding region annotated. NCBI's taxonomy places the organism in Eukaryota, Metazoa, Chordata, Actinopteri, Salmoniformes, Salmonidae. The transcript is spliced from 17 exons. The record is from RefSeq and is a predicted model, not a curated record.
GCAUUUCAGAUGAAUGAUGCAUUGUGGGAUUGGAUGCUAUUGACAUAGCGACAGGAUUGUCGAUUGAAGAACAGUCUUGUUUUCAUCAAUAACUUUGGGGAAUUUGUCAUUUCAGCAGCUGCCAUGAACGGGUCAGUGGCCAAAAAGACCCAAGACACUUUAGGGAGAGUUAUAAAGAAACCUCCGCUUACUGAAAAACUGCUCAGCAAACCGCCGUUUAGGUAUCUGCACGACAUAUUCAGUGAGGUGAUCCGGACCACUGGCUUCAUGAAGGGACUCUAUGCAGAGACUGAGAUGAAGUCAGACAAUGUCAAGGAUAAGGAUGCUAAGAUAGCGUUCCUGCAGAAGGCCCUAGAUGUGGUGAUGCUGGUGAACGGCGAGCCCCUCUCGGUCAAGCCAGCGCGCAUUGUAGCCGGCCAUGAGCCUGAGAGGACCAACGAGCUGCUACAGGCCAUCGCCAAGUGCUGCCUCAACAAGCUGUCCAGUGAGGAGGCGGUAAAGCGGGUGCUGGCCGGGGACAAGCUGGACCCCAAGGGGAAGGCCAGCUCCUCCCGGUCCCAGGACAAGGAGAACAGGGAGGGACGAGAGCGCCAACGAGACCAAGUGGAGAAGGCGAUCCGAGAGCACAGCGCCGGGGGUUGGGAGCAGAAGGACCCAGACCUGCCCAAAGAGCAAGAGGGCAGACUGGGCGACAAGGAAAAGGAGCGCCACCGCGAGAGAGAAAGGUCAAAAAAGAGCCGCGAUCGAGACCGUACCAAAGACCGUGGCAAGGACAAGAGCCGGGACAAAAACAAUGAAAGAGAGAAAGACCGAGAACGAGACAAGGAGAGCGAGAGGGACAGAGACAGGGAAAAGAGCAAAGACAAGGAGUUGCACAGAGGGAGAGAUCGAGAGAGGGAUAAGGAGAAAGAUUUAGACCGGGAUAAACGGCGAGAGAAGGAGAGAGAGCUCAGACACAAACAGGGGGAGGAGAAAACCAAAGUGCCAGAGAAGGGUGACAAAAAGGCCAGAGUGUCAGAGGACACAAAACACAGACCACAUGAAGAGGAGCCCAGUAAAACUGCCAAACUUGAACCAGCGACAGCGGAAGUCACAUACAAACAGUCUGACAGUCCAGCCAGAAUACCUCGGCCUUCAUCUGCCAAGGGGCAGAGGCGCUGGCCCAAAGCAGGAGCCCAACAAGAAGAGUUUGACAGUGAAGAUGGAGACACUCCGUUGGCACAGAGGCCGGUUCCCCUGGAGAACGGAGAUGCCACAGACGCAGUGCCAGCCCACAUGGCCCACAGGAGGAUACCUCGGCCCAGCAGCGCCCGGCCCGCCCCUCCUCGGGUCAAGACGCAGGAGAGCUACACUGACGUGACCCCAGCUGAAAGGCUGACCAGUGCCAAGCCCCCGGCGGCCGUCAUCACGGAGGGGAAGAAGCUUUCUGAGGAUGAAGAUGAACAGUUUGUGGUGUUGGAGGCCUCCCCUCUUCCCCCCGACAUGCCCGAGAUGGAGCCAACAGUGGAUCUCCAAGGCGAUGAGAAUCAUGGUGGGCUGGUGAAAAAAAUCCUGGAAACCAAAAAAGACUUUGAAACAUCACCAUCAUCUCCAAAGUCCCAAGACCAGACCCAGAGCCUGGUGUCGGAGGUGUCCAGGAAGAAGGAGCGGGACCUGGUGUCUAGGGAGAUUGAGCGGCUGCGCUCGUCCAUCCAGACGGUGUGCCGCAGCGCCUUGCCCCUAGGCAAGAUCAUGGAUUACAUCCAGGAGGACAUGGACGCCAUGCAGAACGAGCUGCACACCUGGAGGAGGGAGAACAAGGAACAUGGGCAGGCCCUGCUGCAUGAACAGAGAGUGACGGACAGCGCGGUGGAGCCUCUGAAGGCCGAGCUGGCCGAGCUUGAGCAGCUGAUCAAGGAGCAGCAGGACAAGAUCUGCGCCGUCAAGUCCAACAUCCUGAAGAAUGAGGACAAGAUCCAGAAGAUGGUAACCAGCAUCAACUUCUCCUCGCGAAUAUGAGGGGGAGCCAAGGUCCAAAUAAAGGAUUAUCGCCCUUAAAUAAGGACUGAGCGUUCAGGUCUCACAACUGCAGAACAUGUGUAACCACGCCAGCCCAGGACCUGCACAUCUGGCUUCUUCACCUGCGGGAUUGUCUGAGGAGGGGUGCUGAGAAGUAUUACUGUCUGUAUUAAAGCCUUUUUGUGGGGAAGAAUCAUUCUGAUUCGCUGGGCCUGGCUCCCCGAUGGGUGUGUCUAUGCCCCCUCAGUCCCACCCAUGGCUGCAACUCUGCCCAGUCAUAUGAAAUCCAUUAAUUAGGGGAUAAUGAAUUUCUUUCAAUUGACUUAUUUCCUUAUAUGAACUGUAACUUAGUCAAAUCUUUGAAAUUGUUACAUAUUGCGUUUAUAUUUUUGGUCCGUAUAGUUUCGUGUUUUUUGACAUUACAAUGUAUAUGCGUUGUGGGAAUUAAGGCUUGACAUUGAAGUUCUUUUACAGCUUCAAGCAAAGGGCACAUGGACCAAGCCAAUACCCUCCACAUCUACUUGAUAUACAUUUGAUACAGACUUCUGUCAUUUUUUAACAUGUCUGUCUAUUAACAAUUCUGUUUACCUGAAGCUUCUUCAAAGCCUGUACAAAGCAAUAGAUCUGAGGUUUGCUGAGGAGCUAGGGACGCCACGAGCAGAAGACAUGGCAGUCCUUUGACUCUUCCUUCUGUCAACCACUAUGCUUGUCCCAGAUCUGUUUGUGCGUUCUGGCCAAGGUCAGCAAGACAUCAAAAACAGGCCUGGGGUCAGGCUAGUCGAGCACCACUGUGCUUUGAGAAAUUGGGUUAGUAUAGAACUGUGUCCACUCAUUGAAAGAGUAGUUAAAGUAAGAGUUAAAAGUAACAUGACACUUUCAUAGAUAAAAAAAAAAAUAUAUAUAUAUAUAUCUAUAUAUAUCUAUAUAUAUUAUAUCUGUCACGUCUGUCACGUGCUCAGUGUGAACCUGCUUUC